This 83-nucleotide ribosomal RNA is filed under the name Streptomyces bohaiensis. Lineage: Bacteria; Bacillati; Actinomycetota; Actinomycetes; Kitasatosporales; Streptomycetaceae. The record is from RNAcentral.
ACAUUUCGAACCCGGAAGCUAAGCCUUUCAGCGCCGAUGGUACUGCAUGGGGGACCGUGUGGGAGAGUAGGUCGCCGCCGAAC